AAAAUAGAAUAGAAAAAAUUUGGCUUCGAAUCAAAUAAUGGCUUAUGCCCUAUUUUA
Molecule: transfer RNA, 57 nt
Filed under: Metacrangonyx sp. 3 ssp. 1 MDMBR-2012
Lineage: Eukaryota; Metazoa; Arthropoda; Malacostraca; Amphipoda; Metacrangonyctidae
Description: transfer RNA Arginine
Source: RNAcentral